GUGCUCCCUUGGCAGCACGUAAACUAAAAAAAGUUGGAAUGAUAUAGAGAAGAUUAGCAUGGCCUCUGCACAGGAUGACAUGCAAACUCAUGAGACGCUCCGCAUUUUU
Small nuclear RNA from Saimiri boliviensis boliviensis (Bolivian squirrel monkey), 109 nucleotides. Lineage: Eukaryota; Metazoa; Chordata; Mammalia; Primates; Cebidae. The record is from RefSeq and is a predicted model, not a curated record.